UUACACGUCAUUUUGGAAUUUUACAUUGAAAAUUUUUUAUCUAAAACAGUUUCCGAAAACACUCUGAAUUAACAGAUGCUCUUUUACUCGACGAAAAUAAUAUUUCAAAAACGAAGCAGAAACUUUUGAAUACGUGAAAUCGAAUAUUACUUAACCCUCAAUCGGACGUUUAAAGAAAGCAUCGCAUUUAUGACGAUUGUUUCCAAUACAUUGGAGAGUGUAAUGUUGAGCCACCAAUCACGCAAUGUACUCAAUGCGGCAGUUUCGACAUUAGCAAAAUAUUCUUUGAAUAUUGUACUCGAUCUACGCGUUAAAAGAGGAUAAGAUUUUGUAUAAUGUAUAUGGUUCUGGAUAUCAACAUUUGGUACAAACUGUGCCAUUAGAAGCCCAUUAUAUAAUGCUCUGACGGUAUCCCAGCAUCCUCAGGACUUGGAAGAUCUUUUUACAAAUGGUUUUGACUGGAAACGUCAAGGUACUGGCUUCAUAAAUAAUAACAACGCGCUGAAGCCAACAGCAACUCUAGACGCACCGGAAAAAGCAUUCGUCCAAAACUUAUGUACAUCUAUUGAAUGUUGAGUACCAUCGAUUAUAUUAUAAUAACACGGAUUCCUUGAAAAAUUGGAUUUGUUACACCUGGCAUUUUAAUAUGUAUACUUUGGAAAAAGGGUUCUUCUUUCGAUCGCUCUCGUACAGUAAUGGG
This is a long non-coding RNA of Belonocnema kinseyi, 700 nucleotides long. RefSeq lists it as uncharacterized. The record is from RefSeq and is a predicted model, not a curated record. NCBI's taxonomy places the organism in Eukaryota, Metazoa, Arthropoda, Insecta, Hymenoptera, Cynipidae. The transcript is spliced from 3 exons.